RNAcentral lists this long non-coding RNA (282 nucleotides) under Manihot esculenta (cassava). Its description in RNAcentral is "long non-coding RNA (MESC_LNC004677)". Lineage: Eukaryota; Viridiplantae; Streptophyta; Magnoliopsida; Malpighiales; Euphorbiaceae. The record is from RNAcentral.
AGCUCAGUGAGCAGAAUAAUAGAAAACAACAUUUAAAUCUCAUGCCAUCAUGUAAUGCAACACAUCACAACAAAUCACAUCUUGGAUGGUAUUGUCACCAAUAGUCCUCUACAUUCCAAAGUGCCGGGACGUAGAAUGGGUACAACCGGUCUUUCUCUUAACAUAACAUAUCAUACAUACCAAUGUGCCAGGGACGUAGAAUGGGUACACCCUGGACUUUCUCUUACAUAGUGCCAGGGACGUAGAAUGGGUACAACCUGGACUUCCAUACCGUAUCAUGCC